CAAGAGUUGAAGGGAGUUCACUGAUCCUUCUUGUGGUCUUCCACUUGUGAUCAGCUGCUGUUCUGUAAGAAGCUUUCCUGAACAGUUCAAGUAAAUUCCAAACCUCAUAAAUAGGAAGCAAGUGUUCCUGGUUUCAUGUGGAUACUCCUACUGGUGAACUGAUUCUUCUGGAUGCCGGUGCGAUUGGGAAUGCAUUAAUGGAUGACCAUCUUCGUCUGCUGUAGUGGGCAAAUUUUCAACCUUUGCAACUAAACUGUGGAUCUGCAGUGGGUGAGAGGAAGCAAGAACACAUUCCUCAGUUGAG
Molecule: long non-coding RNA, 304 nt
Organism: Pogoniulus pusillus (Red-fronted tinkerbird)
Lineage: Eukaryota; Metazoa; Chordata; Aves; Piciformes; Lybiidae
Exons: 3
Source: RefSeq, a predicted model, not a curated record